RNAcentral lists this transfer RNA (85 nucleotides) under Candidatus Levyibacteriota bacterium. Its description in RNAcentral is "tRNA-Ser". It matches the Rfam family "tRNA". Rfam says of the family: Transfer RNA (tRNA) molecules are approximately 80 nucleotides in length. The record is from RNAcentral. Lineage: Bacteria; Candidatus Levyibacteriota.
GGAGGAGUCGCCUAGUUGGCCCAUGGCGCGGCACUGGAAAUGCCGUGAGCGCAAGCUCACGCGGGUUCGAAUCCCGCCUCCUCCG